GAUGAACGCUGGCGGCGUGCCUAAUACAUGCAAGUCGAGCGAACGGACGAGAAGCUUGCUUCUCUGAUGUUAGCUGCGGACGGGUGAGUAACACGUGGAUAACCUACCUAUAAGACUGGGAUAACUUCGGGAAACCGGAGCUAAUACCGGAUAAUAUUUUGAACCGCAUGGUUCAAAAGUGAAAGACGGUCUUGCUGUCACUUAUAGAUGGAUCCGCGCUGCAUUAGCUAGUUGGUAAGGUAACGGCUUACCAAGGCAACGAUGCAUAGCCGACCUGAGAGGGUGAUCGGCCACACUGGAACUGAGACACGGUCCAGACUCCUACGGGAGGCAGCAGUAGGGAAUCUUCCGCAAUGGGCGAAAGCCUGACGGAGCAACGCCGCGUGAGUGAUGAAGGUCUUCGGAUCGUAAAACUCUGUUAUUAGGGAAGAACAUAUGUGUAAGUAACUGUGCACAUCUUGACGGUACCUAAUCAGAAAGCCACGGCUAACUACGUG
This 497-nucleotide ribosomal RNA is filed under the name uncultured bacterium. RNAcentral's name for it is "partial 16S ribosomal RNA". It matches the Rfam family "Bacterial small subunit ribosomal RNA", at positions 28 to 507 of the family's 1533-position model. The record is from RNAcentral.